AACGAACGCUGGCGGCAGGCCUAACACAUGCAAGUCGAGCGGGCGUAGCAAUACGUCAGCGGCGCACGGGUGAGUAACGCGUGGGAACCUGCCCUUUGGUUCGGAACAACCCUGGGAAACUAGGGCUGAUACCGGAUACGCCCCUGAUCUCGCGAGAGGUUGGGGGAAAGAUUUAUCGCCGAAGGAGGGGCCCGCGUCCGAUUAGCUAGUUGGUGGGGUAAUGGCCUACCAAGGCUGCGAUCGGUAGCCGGUCUGAGAGGACGAUCGGCCACACUGGGACUGAGACACGGCCCAGACUCCUACGGGAGGCAGCAGUGGGGAAUAUUGGACAAUGGGCGCAAGCCUGAUCCAGCCAUGCCGCGUGGGUGAUGAAGGCC
Molecule: ribosomal RNA, 377 nt
Filed under: uncultured bacterium
Lineage: Bacteria
Description: bacterial SSU rRNA
Rfam family: Bacterial small subunit ribosomal RNA
Source: RNAcentral